Molecule: unclassified non-coding RNA, 236 nt
Filed under: Phanerochaete sp.
Lineage: Eukaryota; Fungi; Basidiomycota; Agaricomycetes; Polyporales; Phanerochaetaceae
Description: partial contains 5.8S ribosomal RNA, internal transcribed spacer 2, and large subunit ribosomal RNA
Source: RNAcentral
AACGCACAUUGCGCCCCUUGGUAUUCCGGGGGGCAUGCCCGUUCGAGCGUCAUUACACCCCUCAAGCAUAGCUUGGUUUUGAGGCCCGCGGUCCGCCGCGCCCUCUGAAUUCAACCGGCUGGUCUUGUGGUCUCUCAGCGUUGUGAAAACGUCCGCGGGGAAGGCUACACGGUCCAUGCCGUUAAAACUCACACAAGCUUGACCUCGGAUCGGGUAGGGAUACCCGCUGAACUUAA